AGCAGAAUAGCUCAGAUGGUAGAGCACUUAUAUCGCACUAUAAGGAGUCACAGGUUCAAGUCCUGUUUUCGCUA
RNAcentral lists this transfer RNA (74 nucleotides) under Caudoviricetes sp. RNAcentral describes it as "tRNA-Ala". It matches the Rfam family "tRNA". From Rfam's summary of the family: Transfer RNA (tRNA) molecules are approximately 80 nucleotides in length. Their secondary structure includes four short double-helical elements and three loops (D, anti-codon, and T loops). Further hydrogen bonds mediate the characteristic L-shaped molecular structure. tRNAs have two regions of fundamental functional importance: the anti-codon, which is responsible for specific mRNA codon recognition, and the 3' end, to which the tRNAs corresponding amino acid is attached (by aminoacyl-tRNA synthetases). tRNAs cope with the degeneracy of the genetic code in two manners: having more than one tRNA (with a specific anti-codon) for a particular amino acid; and 'wobble' base-pairing, i.e. permitting non-standard base-pairing at the 3rd anti-codon position. Lineage: Duplodnaviria; Heunggongvirae; Uroviricota; Caudoviricetes. The record is from RNAcentral.